CGUCGUGGCGGAUUGGCUUCCCCGACCUGUCCGCCUCUCGUACUUCCGGGUUUUCGCGUCAGCUCCUGCUUCCCCGGGAAAGAUGCGCCGUGGGCCACUCCCAUUGGCUGGCUCCUGUGUUGGUCUCGUGCCCGCAGCGGCCAAUAAGCAACAGGCGGGGCGGUGCCCGGGCGAGAGGCGGGAGUAGCGUGCGGAAAACCCGCGCGGGCGCGGAGAUCUGCGGGUAUGAUAGAUGCCGCGGUCGGAAACUGUAAAAUGGGGACAGUGUGAUGACAGUACUUCAUAGAGUUUUAUGUGAGGGCGAAGCGAGAUCCUACAUGUCUGGCACAAAUCUGACGUUUGCUGGUGGGAUGUGAGCAAGGAGCAAGGAGCUGCUGUCAGUCAUGCUGGGGAAACACCAACCUGAGAGUGAAGCCAACAGAGAUGAAAAAUAGAAAAAACCCAGUAUUGAUGCUCUCUUAGAUGAAUCAGAAUGUGAGGCGUUAUCUGCAAAUUCUCCUCUCUGCUGGAUACUGCUAAGAAAGGAGAAAAGAGGAUGGACAUGAGGGGAAGCCCACUGCCAUGCUUGAUUGAGGACACUCAAGCAGCCUAUAGACAGGCCCAUGUGGUGAAGAACUAUAACAACCAGAACUAACUUCCCAGCCAUGUGCAUGAACUAUUUUGGAAGUGGAUUCUGCAGCCCCUGUCUGGCCUUCAGAUGAUUUCUGGAAUAUGAGAGACCCUGAGCCAUGACCACUCAGCUAAGCUACCCCUGGAUUCCUGACCCACAGAAACUAUCUGAUUUGACUUGGAUUUCACUUACCAGUGAAAAAGACCAGUCUGAAAUGGACCAGAGAUGAGCAAUGGAGGGAGACGAAAUUUCUGAUGGCGUACCAGUUCCUGCAUCCAGCUGUUCCUGAAACCCAGCCAGGUCCCGCCUUUAAUAAUAGCAGGGGCAGCAGCAACAACAAACAUUUACUGAAUGCCUAUAAUAAAUCCCACCUUUUGCUAAUUUAGCUCCUCUUACUCGCAGCCGAGAAAGUCUU
Molecule: long non-coding RNA, 1025 nt
Organism: Leopardus geoffroyi (Geoffroy's cat)
Lineage: Eukaryota; Metazoa; Chordata; Mammalia; Carnivora; Felidae
Exons: 6
Source: RefSeq, a predicted model, not a curated record